RNAcentral lists this long non-coding RNA (1834 nucleotides) under Homo sapiens (human). Its description in RNAcentral is "HSALNT0294660". The record is from RNAcentral. Lineage: Eukaryota; Metazoa; Chordata; Mammalia; Primates; Hominidae.
UUUGUGAGAGAUGCGACUUGGUCCCCGCUCAAUCACUCCCUGCUUACCACAGUGGGCUGGGACCAUCAGGUCGUCCACCACGUUGUGCCCACAGAACCUCUCCCAGCCCCUGGACCUGCAAGUGUUACUGAGUAGAUUGGAUUUAAGACAAAAAGCAAGUCCCCCAUGAGUGUCCACUUCUUUGCCCUGCCCUCUCAGCUUGUGAGACAACACAGGAGCCUUCUAUACUGUUCUCUGGUCCACCAAGGGCUAUGAGGCUCACCCCUUGGAUGGUGCUCAGAACCACAAGGAAUACUGAAGAAGCCUUGCCUAUGAUUUCAGGUGGCAUCAGACAUUGGGCUAAUUUUCAAGGUGUCUCUCCUUCCCAACAGGACAGUCGGAGUCUGGUUCUUUAAUAAAUAGCUAUAUGGAUCUUACUUACUGGUUCACAAUCAUAUUACAGCAGCAAAAACACCCAAGCUCUAACUGCUCUGGGCCUCCAGCCAUGUUUCCUCCAGAUAGCAUGUUAGAAAGGACAGGAGAUUUUAAAAAUCAGAUUGGACUUCAGAGGGCUCCAAAUUUUCUUGCCACAUCUAGACCUGAAAGUAAAGAGCUCUGAUUAUUAAGAGGCAGAUUCUCGUUGCAUUUGGACAGCGUGAGUAAUGGUCACACUGAACACAUUAGAAUCAGUUGUGAAAUUGAUUUUGUUUCAAAAAAGGAUAAGCAAGCUGUAGUCUCAAUUUUGAGUUAAUUGAAAUUUCUCAAGAACUUCAUCAGCAGCUCACAUGAUACAGUUUUGGAAGAGUAAACAAGGUAAGCAGACAACCCUGGGACCCCAAACACAUUUUCUUUUUUAGUUCUCCAUCAAAAAUAGGCAUUUCUGGAGUUUUGGUCUCACUGAGUGAUCACAGGACUGCUGCAAUCCAGGGAACUGAGGGAGCUGUGAGCAUCUGAGAAGAAAGGUUAGCUCUUGUUUUAAGUUGUAGAGACAACUUAAAACAAGUUGUGACACAAUUAGUGAUCCCAUAAUCUUUUAUCAUCUGGUACAACAUUUAAUAUAGUAGCAUUCUACUUACUGUGGAAACUCCUUGUUUCACAAAUGAUGUUCUGCAGCUUCAAUAUGUAAUGGAUGGACCAUCAAAGUUCAAAAUAUAAUAAGGAAUUUAAUUCCCAAACAACAUCCUUUAACAUUCUGGUGAAAGCCCAGCCAGUGUCACUGGUUGAAAGUGCCUUCAGUGGAUAUAGCUAUAUUUCACCUGUCCCUGUGAUCAUGAGGUACCAGAUUCCGGUCAAGCAUUUCACUUUGGGAGGCACCAUGUUGUAAACAUUAGGAAUUUCAGGUGCAAACUAAUUUUCCAUUCUGGUAGUAACUCUUACCUGGAGUGUCAGCUAAGUCAUGAAAAUUGUUUAGAUUAGAAAAUGCACUUUUUAUAUAUAGCCUAAAUUAGCUUCAUGUUCUGUAGUUUCUGCAGCUUGUCUCAGAAAUCCUCUGAGUAGAACUGAUGUAUGAGACCCUUUAAGACCAUUAUCCAACUGCAGUUUGCUUGGCAGAGUUAGCAUUAAUGCACCCUUUGAUCUAGGCACCUGGAGGCAGGUAAGACAGGCUCUGCGUGCACCACCGUCCCUGGACCUGUUGUGGCGGACUCCUUGAAGCAAGAUCAACUUGGGCUUUGUUUGAGUUUUUAAAGUCUUUUUUUUUUAAUGUAAAAUUUGUCAUUUUAACUUUUUAAGUAUACAGUUCAGUGGCAUUAAGUUUAUUUGCAUUUUUGUGCAGCUUUCACCACUUCCAUCUCCAAAACUUUUUCAUCAUCCCAAACUGAAACUGUACUUAUUAAACAGUAACUCCCCUUCCUCA